RNAcentral lists this ribosomal RNA (520 nucleotides) under uncultured Glomus. Its description in RNAcentral is "SSU rRNA". It matches the Rfam family "Eukaryotic small subunit ribosomal RNA", at positions 569 to 1089 of the family's 1831-position model. Lineage: Eukaryota; Fungi; Glomeromycota; Glomeromycetes; Glomerales; Glomeraceae. The record is from RNAcentral.
AGCAGCCGCGGUAAUUCCAGCUCCAAUAGCGUAUAUUAAAGUUGUUGCAGUUAAAAAGCUCGUAGUUGAAUUUCGGGACCAAUCUGCCGGUCGUGCCUCCGGUACGCACUGGUUUUAUUGGUUUCUCCCUUCUGACGAACCAUGAUGUCAUUAAUUUGGUGUCAUGGGGAAUCAGGACUGUUACUUUGAAAAAAUUAGAGUGUUUAUAGCAGGCUCACGCUUGAAUACAUUAGCAUGGAAUAAUGAAAUAGGACGUUUGACCCUAUUUUGUUGGUUUCUAGGAUCGACGUAAUGAUUAAUAGGGAUAGUUGGGGGCAUUAGUAUUCAAUUGUCAGAGGUGAAAUUCUUGGAUUUAUUGAAGACUAACUACUGCGAAAGCAUUUGCCAAGGAUGUUUUCAUUAAUCAAGAACGAAAGUUAGGGGAUCGAAGACGAUCAGAUACCGUCGUAGUCUUAACCAUAAACUAUGCCGACUAGGGAUCGGAUGAUGUUAAUUUUUUUAAUGACUCAUUCGGCGCCUU